UCUUUCUUCUUCUUUCUUCUUCUUUCUCAUUCUUCUUGUUUUUCUUCUUCUCUCGUUCUUCUGCUUCUGUGAGUUUGGGAGAAUUAAAUCAUGAGGAUGUAUUAAAGAAGGAGGAGGAGGAGUUGUUUCUGUUGAUUAUGAAGAAGAAUUUUGAGAUGUUGUUAUAAUCGAAGAUAAGGUUUUCAGAAUGAUGAAGAUGAUUGAGGUUUCGUGGAAUUAAUUAGUGAAUUGAGUUCCUGAUGGAUGAAGAUUGUUUGGGUUGAAGUUUAAUUAAAGUUUUGUAGUUGUAUUGAAGUUAUGAAGGUGACUCAGGAAAAAAAUCAAAGGAUUAGGGUUUCUGCAAAUUGAAUUGAAAUUCAAUUUAGGGUUUCAUGAGAUUAAACUCAGAGAAGAUGGACUUGAUGUACAAGAGGGAUGCUUGAAGAUGGGUAUUGUGUUAAUUAACAGUUGAGGUGAUGAGUUGAUUAACCAGAGAAUUAGGCUUAUAUAAGAUGAACUCAAAAGAGUUAUAGAUGAUGAAAUUGAGGUUCAAGAAGUAUGAUUAGAGAUGGGUUUGUGAUGAAUUAAGGUUUAGAGUUAAAGAAUAACUCGAACUGGAUAGUUAGGGUUUGAGCAGUGGUUAUGAAGAUCAAGGUGAAAUGGAUAACUUGAAGUUCUUAAAUUUUACUGAUGAGGUGUUGAAUCAGCUCAAGACAAAGAAGAAAGUAAUUCAAUUGCUGCAAUAGAAUUAUCUUGAGGUAAUUACUCUCUCAGUAACUUAGUAAAGUUAUUGAUUUCAAAUAAUGAGUUAUAAAUUGUGAAUGUGGAUGAAUAUAUGAUGGAAUUGAAGUAUAGAUGAAUGUUUAGUGUUCUGCAAGAGGAAUUUCUACUGCAGGUUGGUAAGUAUGGAGAUGAAGUUGAGUUUAUGCGGAUGUUGUUGGAUUGAAAAGAGUUGAGAUAGCUCAUACAUGGUUAUGAAUUGGGUCUGAUGCAAAGAAAAAUUGUGGUUUGAAUUGAAGUUUGUGUUUGUGUCAGUUUUGGGGUUGUUAUGGUUUGAAUAGAUCUUGCUGUUGUGCUGAGGUGCAGGGAAUGAUUGAAGUUUUGGAGGUGUCUGAAUUGAGAUGGUGAAACACAGGGGGGUUCAUGGAGUUAAACUUAGUUGAAGAUGAUUGGGAUAGUGGUUAUUUAAUGAUGCUAAGGAUCUGUGAAUGAAUUGCAAGUAUGUCUAGUGGCGUUGAGCUACAGUGGUAGUUAACUGAAAUGGGUAUGACUGAGAAGAAUGUGGCAAUGGGAUAGUGAAUGGAGCUGUAAAUGUUAUUAAAGUUUGGUUGUAGCUGUGGCAUUGCAGUUAGUAGUUGAAUCAAGAUUGUAGGUUGGCUCAGGUGGUUGGUGUCGAGUUGGGGGAGUAGUUGUGGAGGCACAGUUUAGUGGAUUUAAGAUUGAGGUAGGUGUUACGAAUUGAUCUCAGUGAGUGAGAAUUUGCAGGCUUAGAUUGAGAUGGAGUCAUGUAAUUGUGAAGAAGAAAUUGUUGAAAUUACAAGACUUGAAGGUAUAUUGAAUUGCAUACUAGAAGUUAGUAGUGUUAUAGUUGUUGGAACUUGAGUGUACUUAUGUGAUGUUUGGAAUGAAGUUGAUUGUGUUGUUGUCUUGGAAGUGGCCUUAGUGAAGUCUGCAACUGCAAAUUAAGUUAGUCGGUAUUAACAACGAUCGGUUUAAAGAAUGAACCAGUGGAUCGUGGAUAUCGAUGUAGGCGUCGCUUGUCAUCAAAAGAGGGAUGAUGUGCUCACUCAUUCCCACUUUCAGUUUCAGAGACAGAUCAGGAUGUGAAUGUGACGAUGAAAGCUUCGAAGAAUUAUUUACGUUAGUUAGUUAGUUUCCGUUAUGUUUAUUCUAUAUUUGUAUUCCAUUUGUAAAUCAACUCAAUAUUGAAUAUGUAUCAUUUGAGAGGAGUUUUUGUAUAUAUAUUUCAGAGCGGGGCUAUUUUUUGGGUUAA
Long non-coding RNA from Papaver somniferum (opium poppy), 1972 nucleotides. RefSeq lists it as uncharacterized. NCBI's taxonomy places the organism in Eukaryota, Viridiplantae, Streptophyta, Magnoliopsida, Ranunculales, Papaveraceae. The transcript has 3 exons. The record is from RefSeq and is a predicted model, not a curated record.